GAGUUUUCCUUUUUACUGUUAAAGUGCA
Molecule: non-coding RNA, 28 nt
Filed under: Mus musculus (house mouse)
Lineage: Eukaryota; Metazoa; Chordata; Mammalia; Rodentia; Muridae
Source: RNAcentral